GGCAUGAGAACUUUGAUGGAAGCAGUUGAAUUAGUUGGCCAAGGAAAUUUGGUGUAUCUCGUGUUUCCUGCUUCACUGCUUAUCUCCACUCAUCUGCAUUGCCCCUCUCUACUAUCCUCCUCUGCAUCAAUCUUCAACAGCCAAGAAGAAAAUGAGUCAACACCAACCAGACGAACAUCAUCCUUGCAUCGACACCAUACUGCUGUAAUUGUGACUCUUGUAGAGAACUGUCUUUUGAACUUUGAAAGGGAUUCAUUCACGACCUUGUCGGGAUUUUCUGUACGUAUUCGGAGAUAGAGAGUAAAGAACUCUCUCGAGAACAAUAAAGGAAGUUGUUGAUUCUUUAAACCAUAGCCUCUGUGUACUUGUCUAGCCUCAUUACCUGUCUGUACCUGCAGCGGCUGUUGUCUGCUGUUAGGCCUAAUGCC
RNAcentral lists this long non-coding RNA (428 nucleotides) under Androctonus crassicauda. The record is from RNAcentral. Lineage: Eukaryota; Metazoa; Arthropoda; Arachnida; Scorpiones; Buthidae.